RNAcentral lists this ribosomal RNA (627 nucleotides) under Corynebacterium variabile. Its description in RNAcentral is "bacterial SSU rRNA". It matches the Rfam family "Bacterial small subunit ribosomal RNA", at positions 216 to 853 of the family's 1533-position model. The record is from RNAcentral. Lineage: Bacteria; Bacillati; Actinomycetota; Actinomycetes; Mycobacteriales; Corynebacteriaceae.
CGGUGCAGGAUGAGCCCGCGGCCUAUCAGCUUGUUGGUGGGGUAAUGGCCUACCAAGGCGUCGACGGGUAGCCGGCCUGAGAGGGUGGACGGCCACAUUGGGACUGAGACACGGCCCAGACUCCUACGGGAGGCAGCAGUGGGGAAUAUUGCACAAUGGGCGCAAGCCUGAUGCAGCGACGCCGCGUGGGGGAUGAAGGCCUUCGGGUUGUAAACUCCUUUCAACCAUGACGAAGCGAGAGUGACGGUAGUGGUAGAAGAAGCACCGGCUAACUACGUGCCAGCAGCCGCGGUAAUACGUAGGGUGCGAGCGUUGUCCGGAAUUACUGGGCGUAAAGAGCUCGUAGGUGGUUUGUCACGUCGUCUGUGAAAUUCCGGGGCUUAACUCCGGGCGUGCAGGCGAUACGGGCAUAACUUGAGUACUGUAGGGGAGACUGGAAUUCCUGGUGUAGCGGUGAAAUGCGCAGAUAUCAGGAGGAACACCGAUGGCGAAGGCAGGUCUCUGGGCAGUUACUGACGCUGAGGAGCGAAAGCAUGGGUAGCGAACAGGAUUAGAUACCCUGGUAGUCCAUGCCGUAAACGGUGGGCGCUAGGUGUGGGGGUCUUCCACGACUUCCGUGCCGUAGCU